CGCUUCCCUAAGCAAUGUACGUAACACCCUGCUUAGUUCUCAUUGUUACUUUGAAAAACGUCACGUUAAUUCCAUAUUGAAUUGGAUCGGGUUACGCCAACGGUCUUUGGCCUUAGCUCCUCCCUGCACAUGUCCAUUGGCGAGUUACGGGUGACGUACUUAGCAGCAGGGGCGUGUUAUAUCGCCUGCGUCGAAGCUUCUGGAGAAAGCAGAGCUCGUCAGUCGCCAUUUAAUCCUAGCUGCGGAGCGGGAUAUCUAGUCACAGCCAAGGCUUGCGCAAAUUUAUUUAUUCGCGUAUUUAUCUAGUUGCAGCCGUCAUGGAGAGAGAAAAGGAACAGUUCCGCAAGCUAUUUAUUGGCGGGCUCAGCUUUGAAACAACCGAGGACAGUCUGCGGAAUUACUAUGAACAAUGGGGGAAGCUUACAGACUGUGUGGUCAUGAGAGAUCCUGCAAGUAAAAGAUCCAGGGGGUUUGGAUUUGUAACAUUCUCUUCCAUGGAUGAAGUCGAUGCAUCUAUGGCAGCACGCCCACAUACUAUCGAUGGCAGAGUGGUCGAGCCUAAGCGAGCUGUUGCCAGAGAGGAAUCUGCCAAACCUGGUGCCCAUGUCACUGUUAAGAAAUUGUUUGUUGGUGGCAUUAAGGAAGACACAGAAGAGCAUCACCUUAGAGAGUACUUUGAAGAAUAUGGCAAAAUUGAGAGCAUUGAAAUCAUUACUGACAAACAGUCUGGAAAGAAGAGAGGCUUUGGAUUUGUGACAUUUGAUGAUCACGACCCAGUGGAUAAAAUAGUUUUGCAAAAGUAUCACACGAUAAAUGGGCAUAAUGCAGAAGUAAGAAAAGCCUUAUCCAAGCAAGAAAUGCAAGAUGUUCAGAACACCCGAAAUAGUAGAGGAGGUAACUUUGGAUUUGGAGAUUCACGAGGUGGUGGAAACUUUGGUUCCGGACCAGGGGGCAACUUCAGAGGAUCAUCUGAUGGUUAUGGAGGUGGACGUGGGUAUGGUGAUGGCUAUAAUGGAUAUGGUGGUGGUCAAAGCGGUGGCAGCUUUGGAGGUGGACCUGGAUAUGGAGGAGGGCGAGGAGGAUAUGGAGGUAGCCCUGGCUAUGGCAACCAAGGAGGAGGAGGAGGUGGCGGCUAUGGGGGAGGCUAUGACAACUAUGGUGGAGGAAACUACGGUGGUGGCGGAAGCUACAAUGACUUUGGGAACUAUAACCAACAGUCUUCCAGUUAUGGACCAAUGAAAAGUGGAGGAAACUUUGGUGGAAACAGGAGUAUGGGAGGACCAUAUGGAGGAGGGAACUAUGGUCCCGGUAGUGGUAGUGGUGGUGGAAGUGGCGGUGGCGGAUAUGGAGGAAGAAAUCGCUAUUAGAUAUUUAAUAAAAAAAAUUUUAAUCACUCCUCUGGGCUUUUGGGCUUGAACAUAAGACAAGCAGAAGCUUCAGUUCAACAAAUGUGCAUGAGGUCGUCUGUCAGCCUUCAGGAAAGACUGCAGUUGAAGCAAGAAAUACUGGAAUUUUUUUUUUUUUUUUUUUUUUUUUUUUUUGCUGUUACUGCUGCAGGUCAACAGUGUCUUCCUCCAGUUCUUGAAGGAAUUUCUUAAUAUGGAAACCAAUUUUACCUUUUUAUCUAGCACUACAGGCUGGAACUGUCUAGAUUCUAAUAAAACUUUUAUAUAUUUCAAAAA
Molecule: RNA transcript, 1682 nt
Organism: Xenopus tropicalis (tropical clawed frog)
Lineage: Eukaryota; Metazoa; Chordata; Amphibia; Anura; Pipidae
Gene: hnrnpa2b1
Gene name: heterogeneous nuclear ribonucleoprotein A2/B1
Exons: 12
Source: RefSeq, marked validated